Molecule: ribosomal RNA, 459 nt
Filed under: uncultured bacterium
Lineage: Bacteria
Description: partial 16S ribosomal RNA
Rfam family: Bacterial small subunit ribosomal RNA
Source: RNAcentral
CCUACGGGUGGCAGCAGUGAGGAAUAUUGGUCAAUGGGCGGAAGCCUGAACCAGCCAAGUAGCGUGCGGGAUGAAGGCCCUACGGGUCGUAAACCGCUUUUGCACGGGGAUAACACCCUCCACUUGUGGAGGUCUGCAGGUACCGUGCGAAUAAGGGCCGGCUAAUUCCGUGCCAGCAGCCGCGGUAAUACGGAGGGCCCGAGCGUUAUCCGGAUUUAUUGGGGUUAAAGGGAGCGUAGGCGGGCGUUAAAGUCAGCGGUAAAAUCGCGCGGCUCAACCGCGCCCCGCAGUUGAAACUGGACGCCUUGAGUACACGACAGGCAGGCGGAAUUCGUGGUGUAGCGGUGAAAUGCAUAGAUAUCACGAGGAACCCCGAUUGCGAAGGCAGCCUGCCGGGGUGCGACUGACGCUGAGGCUCGAAAGUGCGGGGAUCAAACAGGAUUAGAUACCCGUGUAGUC